UGGGGAAUAUUGGACAAUGGGCGCAAGCCUGAUCCAGCCAUGCCGCGUGAGUGAUGAAGGCCCUAGGGUUGUAAAGCUCUUUCACCGGUGAAGAUAAUGACGGUAACCGGAGAAGAAGCCCCGGCUAACUUCGUGCCAGCAGCCGCGGUAAUACGAAGGGGGCUAGCGUUGUUCGGAUUUACUGGGCGUAAAGCGCACGUAGGCGGACUUUUAAGUCAGGGGUGAAAUCCCGGGGCUCAACCCCGGAACUGCCUUUGAUACUGGAAGUCUUGAGUAUGGUAGAGGUGAGUGGAAUUCCGAGUGUAGAGGUGAAAUUCGUAGAUAUUCGGAGGAACACCAGUGGCGAAGGCGGCUCACUGGACCAUUACUGACGCUGAGGUACGAAAGCGUGGGGAGCAAACAG
This 403-nucleotide ribosomal RNA is filed under the name Brucella melitensis. Its description in RNAcentral is "partial 16S ribosomal RNA". It matches the Rfam family "Bacterial small subunit ribosomal RNA", at positions 355 to 775 of the family's 1533-position model. The record is from RNAcentral. RNAcentral also lists the same sequence under 2 other names. Lineage: Bacteria; Pseudomonadati; Pseudomonadota; Alphaproteobacteria; Hyphomicrobiales; Brucellaceae.